Molecule: ribosomal RNA, 500 nt
Filed under: uncultured Glomeromycotina
Lineage: Eukaryota; Fungi; Glomeromycota
Description: partial small subunit ribosomal RNA
Rfam family: Eukaryotic small subunit ribosomal RNA
Source: RNAcentral
CCAAUAGCGUAUAUUAAAGUUGUUGCAGUUAAAAAGCUCGUAGUUGAAUUUCGGGAUCAUCAGGUUGGUCGUGCUUCUGGUAUGUACUUUCCUCGAUGGUUCCUCCUUCUUGAAGAACCGUAAUGCCAUUAAUUUGGUGUUGCGGGGAAUCAGGACUGUUACUUUGAAAAAAUUAGAGUGUUUAAAGCAGGCAAUCGCUUGAAUACAUUAGCAUGGAAUAAUGAAAUAGGACGUUCGAUCCUAUUUUGUUGGUUUCUAGGAUUGACGUAAUGAUUAAUAGGGAUAGUUGGGGGCAUUAGUAUUCAAUUGUCAGAGGUGAAAUUCUUGGAUUUAUUGAAGACUAACUACUGCGAAAGCAUUUGCCAAGGAUGUUUUCAUUAAUCAAGAACGAAAGUUAGGGGAUCGAAGACGAUCAGAUACCGUCGUAGUCUUAACCAUAAACUAUGCCGACUAGGGAUCGGAUGAUGUUAAUUUUUUAAUGACUCAUUCGGCGCCUUACG